CGUGUAGGCGGAUCGACAAGUCAUAUGUGAAACCCAGCGGCUCAACCACUGGCUUGCAUCUGAAACUGUCGAUCUUGAGUACGGAAGAGGAAAGUGGAAUUCCUGGUGUAGCGGUGAAAUGCGUAGAUAUCAGGAGGAACACCGGUGGCGAAGGCGGCUUUCUGGUCCGAUACUGACGCUGAGGCGCGAAGGCCGGGGGAGCAAACAGGAUUAGAUACCCUGGUAGUCC
Molecule: ribosomal RNA, 229 nt
Filed under: uncultured bacterium
Lineage: Bacteria
Description: partial 16S ribosomal RNA
Rfam family: Bacterial small subunit ribosomal RNA
Source: RNAcentral